RNAcentral lists this unclassified non-coding RNA (200 nucleotides) under Archaeorhizomyces sp. RNAcentral's name for it is "partial internal transcribed spacer 2". Lineage: Eukaryota; Fungi; Ascomycota; Archaeorhizomycetes; Archaeorhizomycetales; Archaeorhizomycetaceae. The record is from RNAcentral.
UUAAGUUCAGGCGGUAGCCCUACCUGAUCUGAGGUCAAGUCGGAUAUUUAAGUCCGGAAGCGGUCAGUCCUAGUGGAUCACGUCCGCUCCUUAGACCGAUGACUUUGAGGCUACGCCCAGGGGCGAAGUCCAAGACAGACCCACUGGGGGACUAUGGUUUAAAUGACGCUCAGACAGGCAUGCCUCCCAAUGACGGGAGG